RNAcentral lists this ribosomal RNA (423 nucleotides) under uncultured bacterium. RNAcentral describes it as "bacterial SSU rRNA". It matches the Rfam family "Bacterial small subunit ribosomal RNA", at positions 8 to 425 of the family's 1533-position model. The record is from RNAcentral.
AGAGUUUGAUCCUGGCUCAGAUUGAACGCUGGCGGCAGGCUUAACACAUGCAAGUCGAACGGUAACAGAACUAGCUUGCUAGUUGCUGACGAGUGGCGGACGGGUGAGUAACGCGUAGGAAUCUACCGAGUAGUGGGGGACAACAGUUGGAAACGACUGCUAAUACCGCAUAAUCCCUGAGGGGGAAAGGAGGGGAUCUGUUUACAGACCUUUCGCUAUUUGAUGAGCCUGCGUGAGAUUAGCUAGUUGGUGAGGUAAUGGCUCACCAAGGCGACGAUCUCUAGCUGGUCUGAGAGGAUGAUCAGCCACACUGGAACUGAGACACGGUCCAGACUCCUACGGGAGGCAGCAGUGGGGAAUAUUGCACAAUGGGGGAAACCCUGAUGCAGCCCUGCCGCGUGUGUGAAGAAAGCCUUCGGGUUG